Molecule: long non-coding RNA, 472 nt
Organism: Rhipicephalus microplus (southern cattle tick)
Lineage: Eukaryota; Metazoa; Arthropoda; Arachnida; Ixodida; Ixodidae
Source: RefSeq, a predicted model, not a curated record
GCCAUAAAGAGCAGAUAAUACUGCUAUUCGCUGCGGUUACCUCCGUUGUACAUGAAACGACUUCCGCGUGGCCACACGCUUACGGUUGUGGGCCGAACCAGGAAGCAAGCUGUUGUGGCAAAAGCAAUACCCACGAAGCAUACUGCGGCAGUGACGGUAUGAACGCCAAUCAACUCAGGCCGUCACAAUGCCGUCUAAGUUCAGGUUUGAUGUGUGUCUGCACCACCGGCUUCUACAGAAAAAAACCUGGUGGUUGUCGCCCGUGCGUACGCGUCGACAUGUGCAAUUAGUGCGCUCCGCCUGUAACAGAAUUCUGCCCCCAUGAUCUUAUCGUAACUAUGGUUAUUUGGUCUUCGUAACAUCUCUUGGAUGUCGCAAUGUGGUAAAUGCGCGCUGCUUCGCAACGACCAAGCUGUCGCAAUUCUACCGUACCAACACAAAGCAGUGGAAUAAAUAUGGCAACUACUGUCAA